RNAcentral lists this ribosomal RNA (2815 nucleotides) under Staphylococcus aureus. Its description in RNAcentral is "bacterial LSU rRNA". It matches the Rfam family "Bacterial large subunit ribosomal RNA". Lineage: Bacteria; Bacillati; Bacillota; Bacilli; Caryophanales; Staphylococcaceae. The record is from RNAcentral.
AGGGCGCACGGUGGAUGCCUUGGCACUAGAAGCCGAUGAAGGACGUUACUAACGACGAUAUGCUUUGGGGAGCUGUAAGUAAGCUUUGAUCCAGAGAUUUCCGAAUGGGGAAACCCAGCAUGAGUUAUGUCAUGUUAUCGAUAUGUGAAUACAUAGCAUAUCAGAAGGCACACCCGGAGAACUGAAACAUCUUAGUACCCGGAGGAAGAGAAAGAAAAUUCGAUUCCCUUAGUAGCGGCGAGCGAAACGGGAAGAGCCCAAACCAACAAGCUUGCUUGUUGGGGUUGUAGGACACUCUAUACGGAGUUACAAAGGACGACAUUAGACGAAUCAUCUGGAAAGAUGAAUCAAAGAAGGUAAUAAUCCUGUAGUCGAAAAUGUUGUCUCUCUUGAGUGGAUCCUGAGUACGACGGAGCACGUGAAAUUCCGUCGGAAUCUGGGAGGACCAUCUCCUAAGGCUAAAUACUCUCUAGUGACCGAUAGUGAACCAGUACCGUGAGGGAAAGGUGAAAAGCACCCCGGAAGGGGAGUGAAAUAGAACCUGAAACCGUGUGCUUACAAGUAGUCAGAGCCCGUUAAUGGGUGAUGGCGUGCCUUUUGUAGAAUGAACCGGCGAGUUACGAUUUGAUGCAAGGUUAAGCAGUAAAUGUGAAGCCGUAGCGAAAGCGAGUCUGAAUAGGGCGUUUAGUAUUUGGUCGUAGACCCGAAACCAGGUGAUCUACCCUUGGUCAGGUUGAAGUUCAGGUAACACUGAAUGGAGGACCGAACCGACUUACGUUGAAAAGUGAGCGGAUGAACUGAGGGUAGCGGAGAAAUUCCAAUCGAACCUGGAGAUAGCUGGUUCUCUCCGAAAUAGCUUUAGGGCUAGCCUCAAGUGAUGAUUAUUGGAGGUAGAGCACUGUUUGGACGAGGGGCCCCUCUCGGGUUACCGAAUUCAGACAAACUCCGAAUGCCAAUUAAUUUAACUUGGGAGUCAGAACAUGGGUGAUAAGGUCCGUGUUCGAAAGGGAAACAGCCCAGACCACCAGCUAAGGUCCCAAAAUAUAUGUUAAGUGGAAAAGGAUGUGGCGUUGCCCAGACAACUAGGAUGUUGGCUUAGAAGCAGCCAUCAUUUAAAGAGUGCGUAAUAGCUCACUAGUCGAGUGACACUGCGCCGAAAAUGUACCGGGGCUAAACAUAUUACCGAAGCUGUGGAUUGUCCUUUGGACAAUGGUAGGAGAGCGUUCUAAGGGCGUUGAAGCAUGAUCGUAAGGACAUGUGGAGCGCUUAGAAGUGAGAAUGCCGGUGUGAGUAGCGAAAGACGGGUGAGAAUCCCGUCCACCGAUUGACUAAGGUUUCCAGAGGAAGGCUCGUCCGCUCUGGGUUAGUCGGGUCCUAAGCUGAGGCCGACAGGCGUAGGCGAUGGAUAACAGGUUGAUAUUCCUGUACCACCUAUAAUCGUUUUAAUCGAUGGGGGGACGCAGUAGGAUAGGCGAAGCGUGCGAUUGGAUUGCACGUCUAAGCAGUAAGGCUGAGUAUUAGGCAAAUCCGGUACUCGUUAAGGCUGAGCUGUGAUGGGGAGAAGACAUUGUGUCUUCGAGUCGUUGAUUUCACACUGCCGAGAAAAGCCUCUAGAUAGAAAAUAGGUGCCCGUACCGCAAACCGACACAGGUAGUCAAGAUGAGAAUUCUAAGGUGAGCGAGCGAACUCUCGUUAAGGAACUCGGCAAAAUGACCCCGUAACUUCGGGAGAAGGGGUGCUCUUUAGGGUUAACGCCCAGAAGAGCCGCAGUGAAUAGGCCCAAGCGACUGUUUAUCAAAAACACAGGUCUCUGCUAAACCGUAAGGUGAUGUAUAGGGGCUGACGCCUGCCCGGUGCUGGAAGGUUAAGAGGAGUGGUUAGCUUCUGCGAAGCUACGAAUCGAAGCCCCAGUAAACGGCGGCCGUAACUAUAACGGUCCUAAGGUAGCGAAAUUCCUUGUCGGGUAAGUUCCGACCCGCACGAAAGGCGUAACGAUUUGGGCACUGUCUCAACGAGAGACUCGGUGAAAUCAUAGUACCUGUGAAGAUGCAGGUUACCCGCGACAGGACGGAAAGACCCCGUGGAGCUUUACUGUAGCCUGAUAUUGAAAUUCGGCACAGCUUGUACAGGAUAGGUAGGAGCCUUUGAAACGUGAGCGCUAGCUUACGUGGAGGCGCUGGUGGGAUACUACCCUAGCUGUGUUGGCUUUCUAACCCGCACCACUUAUCGUGGUGGGAGACAGUGUCAGGCGGGCAGUUUGACUGGGGCGGUCGCCUCCUAAAAGGUAACGGAGGCGCUCAAAGGUUCCCUCAGAAUGGUUGGAAAUCAUUCAUAGAGUGUAAAGGCAUAAGGGAGCUUGACUGCGAGACCUACAAGUCGAGCAGGGUCGAAAGACGGACUUAGUGAUCCGGUGGUUCCGCAUGGAAGGGCCAUCGCUCAACGGAUAAAAGCUACCCCGGGGAUAACAGGCUUAUCUCCCCCAAGAGUUCACAUCGACGGGGAGGUUUGGCACCUCGAUGUCGGCUCAUCGCAUCCUGGGGCUGUAGUCGGUCCCAAGGGUUGGGCUGUUCGCCCAUUAAAGCGGUACGCGAGCUGGGUUCAGAACGUCGUGAGACAGUUCGGUCCCUAUCCGUCGUGGGCGUAGGAAAUUUGAGAGGAGCUGUCCUUAGUACGAGAGGACCGGGAUGGACAUACCUCUGGUGUACCAGUUGUCGUGCCAACGGCAUAGCUGGGUAGCUAUGUGUGGACGGGAUAAGUGCUGAAAGCAUCUAAGCAUGAAGCCCCCCUCAAGAUGAGAUUUCCCAACUUCGGUUAU